Molecule: long non-coding RNA, 2125 nt
Organism: Nylanderia fulva
Lineage: Eukaryota; Metazoa; Arthropoda; Insecta; Hymenoptera; Formicidae
Source: RefSeq, a predicted model, not a curated record
GGUGGCUUCGCCGAACAAGGACAGGUGCUGUUUCGAGAAUCGGAGCAGUGAUUGUCAUGAUGAGAAAAUCAGAAAUUUGGUGGAGUCAUCAGAGGAAUUAGAGGAAUAGUAUAAUAUAUUUACGUGAGUGGUACUAAUUAUGGGAUCAGAGCAAUGUCAAUAAUGAUCAGAAAUUUGGAAGUCGUCGAAGGAAUUACGUUAUAGCAUUGGGAUACACAAUGCGAUUCAUGCGUCGUAUCGGGAGUGCCGUGUAAAACUUCACGUGUCGGGAGUGCUACGGUAAACUGUCGGGCGAUCGUAAUUAUUCGUGUUUUCGUGAAUGUCGUGAGUGCUACAAAGGACCAAGAGAGGAGGAGGAGGCCCGUGGAGGCAUCGGGUGACAGCGGGGCAACUGUGAGAUCAAUGUGCUGAGUACUACAACUGCUGAGCACUACAACUUCGCUAUUGCUCGUAUCGAAAAUCCAAGGAGAAACACCCUGCCGAUUUCGCCGAUUAUGGACACACGCAAUCUCUUUUCGCAGUGCGAAGUAGAUGUCGGAUCCGUGAUAAAAUCUGUGACGAGUCGGGAGCGCCGAAUUUAAUAGCGACGAACGAACGUUUCGAUCUACCUAUUGGAUUACGCGGUCGGGCAACUCGCGAUUAUUUAAAAUCGACGUUCGUCGCUUCGCGAAUAUAUCUGUGACAAGUCGGGAGUGUCGAAUUUAAUAGCGACGAACGAACGUCUCGAUCUAUGCCUAUUGGAUUACGCGGUCGGGCAACUCGCGAUCAUUUAAACUCGACGUUCGUCGCUUCGCGAAUUCGUGUCAGUUUGAGUGUUCGUCGUACAAUUUGUGAUAUGUGUCGAGGAUAUCUUCCAACAUUGUAGGGUUGAUUGCGAGACGAUGAUGCAUCGGCUGAUGUCGGAUCCGUGAUAAAAUCUGUGACGAGUCGGGAGUGCCGAAUUUAAUAGCGACGAACGAACGUUUCGAUCUACCUAUUGGAUUACGCGGUCGGGCAACUCGCGAUUAUUUAAAAUCGACGUUCGUCGCUUCGCGAAUGUAUCUGUGACAAGUCGGGAGUGUCGAAUUUAAUAGCGACGAACGAACGUCUCGAUCUAUGCCUAUUGGAUUACGCGGUCGGGCAACUCGCGAUCAUUUAAACUCGACGUUCGUCGCUUCGCGAAUUCGUGUCAGUUUGAGUGUUCGUCGUACAAUUUGUGAUAUGUGUCGCGGAUAUCUUCCAACAUUGUAGGGUUGAUUGCGAGACGAUGAUGCAUCAGCUAAUGUCGGAUCUGUGAUAAAAUCUGUGACGAGUCGGGAGUGCCGAAUUUAAUAGCGACGAACGAACGUCUCGAUCUACCUAUUGGAUUACGCGGUCGGGCAACUCGCGAUUAUUUAAAAUCGACGUUUGUCGCUUCGCGAAUGUAUCUAUGACGAGUCGGGAGUGUCGAAUUUAAUAGCGACGAACGAACGUCUCGAUCUAUGCCUAUUGGAUUACGCGGUCGGGCAACUCGCGAUCAUUUAAACUCGACGUUCGUCGCUUCGCGAAUUCGUGUCAGUUUGAGUGUUCGUCGUACAAUUUGUGAUAUGUAUCGCAGAUAUCUUCCAACAUUGUAGGGUAUUGCUAGACGAUGAUACAUCGGCUGAUGUUGGAUCCGUGAUAAAAUCUGUGACGAGUCGGGAGUGCCGAAUUUAAUAGCGACGAACGAACGUCUCGAUCUACCUAUUGGAUUACGCGGUCGGGCAACUCGCGAUUAUUUAAAAUCGACGUUCGUCGCUUCGCGAAUGUAUCUAUGACGAGUCGGGAGUGUCGAAUUUAAUAGCGACGAACGAACGUCUCGAUCUAUGCCUAUUGGAUUACGCGGUCGGGCAACUCGCGAUCAUUUAAACUCGACGUUCGUCGCUUCGCGAAUUCGUGUCAGUUUGAGUGUUCGUCGUACAAUUUGUGAUAUGUAUCGCAGAUAUCUUCCAACAUUGUAGGGUUGAUUGCGAGACGAUGAUGCAUCGGCUGAUGUUGGAUCCGUGAUAAAAUCUGUGACGAAUCGGGAGUGCCGAAUUUAAUAGCGACGAACGAACGUCUCGAUCUACCUAUUGGAUUACGCGGUCGGGCAACUCGCGAUUAUUUAAAAUCGACGUUCGUCGCUUCG